This is a long non-coding RNA of Anas platyrhynchos (mallard), 1233 nucleotides long. RefSeq lists it as uncharacterized. Lineage: Eukaryota; Metazoa; Chordata; Aves; Anseriformes; Anatidae. The record is from RefSeq and is a predicted model, not a curated record.
GUCAGCCUGGGAAUCUCUGCACAGGGCUCUGAUGCAUAACUAGAUGUACCCGGUGCGACCGGGCCUUUCGUGCUCCCUGCAGGCAGCAGCUAUUUCACUGUGGCCAAGAACUAGGUGCUGAGAGCAGUGUGGGGCAACUCCUCAGUUCUUCAUGCCUUUUCUUUUUUUUUUUUUUGAAGCAAAGAUCCGCAGAAGCCUUGCAGCUCGAUGUACCAUGCUCCUGCAUUGCACGUGCUUACGUGGGAAGAGGCUUCACCCUGUAAUGAAGACACAUGGAGCUCUGCAGCUCGUUCACCCCUUCUCCAAAUGUCACCAGGAGCAUCGCCGAGCCAAAUCCCUGCAGCUGAACUGGUCUGACUGGUCAAUGAGCACAAGAAGGAAAGCUUGGACGUUUAUCUCCUCCAUCGCCCGGCAGGCUGUCCCUCGGGUUGAAUAAAGACGGUUAUACUAACCUGGUAAUGGAUCCAGUAGAAGCAGCAAGCAGCCUGGUGAUUCCCACUGGGGAUCUAACGGGUGCCUGAGCUCAGCAGGACGUUUGGAGGACCCUCCUGCCUCAAACAGCAGCGGUACAUGGCACAGACUGAGUGCCAAAGGGAUGAUAAUUGUGCCAAAAUAAUAAUUUUGCCUUUUUUUUUUCCUCGUAGAAAGCUGACUCUUUAACAAAGCCACUUGCAGUGCGUGCUUUCACAAGAAAACAACCAACACUCAUUUUGAAAACUCCAAAAUAGCCCCAAGACACGUGAGCUGCACACAUGAGAAGUGUUAGCUCCUCCGGUGCUCUUCCUGUUGCUCUACCCAGUGUCAAACUGGCUCUUACUGCACCGGAGGUUUGUGUUACCUAGGGUCCCCUUUUUUUGUUUUUUUUUUUAACUAUUAGCAUCAGCAAUGCUAGGUCAGGCUGCUGAGAAGAGAGGUUUUACCUGCCAGAGGGACGAGCUCCUGGCAGAUGAAGGCUUAAAGCCCAUUUUACCUGCUGCUUCCCUGGUGCUGCUCUCUCCACUGCAAGGGAUCUCUGCAGCUCUGGACAGGCGUCCACUCGUCAGGGAAGCCAAACCCCAUUUUACUCGGCUUCUUUCAGCUGUCACAGCUUUUGUAAUGCUUUAGCAGGACUUACUGCACUCCCCAAGUUGGAAGUGAGACAAAGAGAAUUUAGAAACCACCACCCCAAGCCUGACUGAAGGUUACCAGCCCCAGAAAGCCACAAACAACCUUCCUCUCCUCAUCUAACACAAC